CUCGCGCCGCCGCGCCGCUCACGUGCGAACCUGUAACACCCCAAAACCACGUGGGGUGAGAACCAACUCCAUGGUUCCCAGUGGGUACGGCCACCCAAGGAAAAAGCUCGACCAAUAGGUCCAAGGGAGGCAACUGCAAGUUAGUUCACUAAACAGAUAGAUAUAUAUAUCUUUAUUAUGCAACAAAUAAAACCAUGCCUUGCCUCACGAAUGCAAUAAUGCCAUGCUAUAUGCGAAUCAUUCAACUAUACAAGUAGAAUAAAGGAUUUCACUUUCUAUCAUGCUAUUCAUAGCUUUUCCAUAAUAUAUACAUCUUGGUUAUUUGCUCCUAAGGUUUUUCUCUACCCUAGCCAAGCUAACCACCCGACUCGAUCUCGAGUCAAUCAACUGCUGAAUACCGCACCAAUAAUAGGCUCGAGGUGAUGGACGUCUUGCAUACACCUCAGCCCUAAAUCCUCUCAACUGGGAUACCAAACCCGUAACACAUAAUGCUGUACAUUCACUUGGCUUUGACCCAAUCUUACCGGUUAACCAUGUUAACCCCAAUAACUCACAACCCAAAAUUCCUUAAUAGCGGGGGACUCGAACCUCCCUAGGGACCGUUUUCUGGGGGGGCUUUACCACGCCCAGUGGUGACCAACUCCGGAGCGCACCGCCCGAGGGGGAGCUACCUCCCUCAAGCCAAGACUUAUCGUGAGUAUCGAUCCAAUCCUCAACUUGAGGAUUCAUAGCCACUUGUCACAAUGCCAUUGUCAUAAUAGGUUUUCUACCUAUUUAAUCAUGCUAUUCUCUAUGUCAUCUUGGUCCAAUGCCACUCUUGGUUAAACUAUGUUUAACAACUAUGUUCUCUAUGCCAAUCAAUGUCUCUAUUGUCAAUGUCACCUUUGUUUACUAUGUCCAAGUCCAACUCUCACAUUCACACAAUAAUAGGGUCCUAACAUACAUGUCCAUUAUGGUUCUACCUUUCUCUAUGUUCAACUACGUUAGAAACAUGUCAUUGAAAGCAACCAAGAUUCACAUGUACUUAGUCCUAUUAUGUAUGAAUGAUACAAAUAUAUAUGCUCAAAUGCCACAAGUGUUUGCUAGGUUCAUGACACUAGGUUCACACUAUACUUGUUCAACCUAUGUUCUUUGACACUAGGUUCAUAUCCUCCAUGUUCAACCUAUGUCCAUGACUCUAGGUUUAAUGCCACUCGAUCUAAUGUAUAUAGAUUGUCCAUAUGCACAUUUUCAUUUCUUAACAUUAGUAUCUCUACAACAUGAUCAUCAAGUAUAUCUUAGUAUUAGCCACAUGCUUGCAUUUAUUAUUUCUACAUCAUGCUUAUCAUACCAUUACUUAGCAUUAUCCACAUGCAUGCUUAUCAUGUAAACUUUAGCAUUACUCAAUGCAUUCAUCUAGCACUAUUUACACUAAGUCAUCAUGCAUUCCUCUUAUCAUGUUCUUAUAAUGUUAACAUUCAUAUGCCCUUUAUCUUAUGCAUUCAAAGCAUUAGUCACAUGCAUUUAUCUAGCAUUUCUAUAAUAUGUUAACAUGCAUUCUUUUCACAUUCUUACAUUACGUCAAAUGCAUUCCUCUAGCAUUUCACAUUAUAUGUCAACAUGCAUCAAUAUGAAAUCUCAUUUCUUAGACAUAAAGGGCGACCUAGUCGCUUCGGUAAACACAACCCACCUCAUUUCGCAUUCCGAUUGCUUGUCGACACUUGCAAUCGGCCUCCCGCGGCACCCGGCACCCGGUUUGGCCCGAUCUCUCGCGCGACCACCCGAACGGCCUCCAAUUCACGAUCCGAAAAUUAAAGGUCUUCGGUUAUGUGCCACGAUGCUUCAAAUCCGUUUUCAUGAGUUUACGAUAUCGCUUCGAACCUCCAGGCGGAAACGAAGCCUAAACGUCCGUUUCUUUAAUAACUUCGCAACGGCUCAACGAAUCGCCGAACCGUCUUCGCCAAUGCGUUCGUUUAU
RNAcentral lists this long non-coding RNA (1956 nucleotides) under Ananas comosus (pineapple). RNAcentral describes it as "long non-coding RNA (ACOM_LNC042236)". Lineage: Eukaryota; Viridiplantae; Streptophyta; Magnoliopsida; Poales; Bromeliaceae. The record is from RNAcentral.